Molecule: transfer RNA, 83 nt
Filed under: Polyangiaceae bacterium
Lineage: Bacteria; Pseudomonadati; Myxococcota; Polyangiales; Polyangiaceae
Description: tRNA-Leu
Rfam family: tRNA
About the family: Transfer RNA (tRNA) molecules are approximately 80 nucleotides in length.
Source: RNAcentral
GGCCCCGUGGCGGAAUGGCAUACGCAGUGGAUUUAAAAUCCACGGCCGUAACUGGCGUGUCGGUUCGACCCCGACCGGGGCUA